AUGGGCAAUCUUUGGAACAUCCUCACUGGUGACGGCACAUUGGAAAUAACUCCGGAGGACGUCAUCGCCAAGCGGGGUGCCGUGGGCUGGGAAGGAGGCGAGGGCGUGGAGCCGGCGGCGGCCGCACACGCCGGGACCCGCGCAGCUGCUAGGGCGUCCCGGGGGCUCCGUGGGGGCGCGCCCGCCGCCGCGGCUCGGGGGCUCGAGGAGCCCGGCGUGCCCUGGCGCUGCGCGGAUGGCCCGGCUCCCGCGGCCGCGCUCCGGCUCCUGCUGGCCCUGCUGGCCGCCGCCGUCGGGUGCCAGGAGCAGGCCCAGAGCACGGACUGGAGGGCCCCGCUGAAGACCAUCCGCAACGGCGUGCACAAGAUAGACACGUACCUGAACGCCGCCUUGGACCUCCUGGGAGGCGAGGACGGGCUCUGCCAGUACAAGCGCAGCGACGGAUCCAAGCCUUUCCCACGUUACGGUUAUAAACCCUCCCCGCCGAAUGGCUGUGGCUCUCCACUGUUUGGUGUUCAUCUUAACAUUGGGAUCCCUUCCCUGACAAAGUGCUGCAACCAACACGACAGGUGCUAUGAGACCUGUGGCCAAAGCAAGAAUGACUGUGAUGAGGAGUUCCAGUACUGCCUGUCCAAGAUCUGCCGGGACGUGCAGAAAACACUGGGACUGGCCCAGCACGUUCAGGCAUGUGAGAGAACAGUGGAGCUCUUGUUUGACAGCGUCAUACAUUUAGGCUGUAAACCCUACCUGGACAGUCAGCAAGCCGCGUGCAGGUGUCGUUACGAAGAAAAGACUGAUCUGUAAAGAAGAUGCUGACUGCUGGUGACAGAUGAGGAUGGAAGAACAUAACCUUUGACAAAGGACUAAUGUAUUUAUAGCAUAAAGCCAUCGUAUUUUGUGAAAAGAUUAAGACCUUCCAAGAGUUUAUAUUCUGAUGUUAAAUCCCCAAAGUAAAACAAAGUGGGGGAGGUAGUGAGGAGGGCACGUCUGCCUUCUCAGGCAUCUUCCUGGUGGUGGUGCGUAGUGU
Propithecus coquereli (Coquerel's sifaka) is the source of this 1027-nucleotide RNA transcript. It is a transcript of the gene named group XIIA secretory phospholipase A2 pseudogene, with no coding region annotated. The record is from RefSeq and is a predicted model, not a curated record. NCBI's taxonomy places the organism in Eukaryota, Metazoa, Chordata, Mammalia, Primates, Indriidae. The transcript has 2 exons.